RNAcentral lists this ribosomal RNA (253 nucleotides) under uncultured bacterium. RNAcentral's name for it is "partial 16S ribosomal RNA". It matches the Rfam family "Bacterial small subunit ribosomal RNA", at positions 524 to 776 of the family's 1533-position model. The record is from RNAcentral.
UACAGAGGUCUCAAGCGUUGUUCGGAUUCAUUGAGCGUAAAGGGUGCGUAGGUGGCGGGGUAAGUCAGGUGUGAAAUCUCGGAGCUCAACUCCGAAACUGCACUUGAUACUGCCUUGCUCGAGUACUGGAGAGGAGAUUGGAAUUUACGGUGUAGCAGUGAAAUGCGUAGAUAUCGUAAGGAAGACCAGUGGCGAAGGCGAAUCUCUGGACAGUUACUGACACUGAGGCACGAAGGCCAGGGGAGCAAACAGG